CAGUCGCCGCGGGAAUACGUAGGGUGCAAGCGUUAAUCGGAAUUACUGGGCGUAAAGCGUGCGCAGGCGGUUAUAUAAGACAGAUGUGAAAUCCCCGGGCUCAACCUGGGAACUGCAUUUGUGACUGUAUAGCUAGAGUACGGCAGAGGGGGAUGGAAUUCCGCAUGUAGCAGUGAAAUGCGUAGAUAUGCGGAGGAACACCGAUGGCGAAGGCAAUCCCCUGGGCCUGUACUGACGCUCAUGCACGAAAGCGUGGGGAGCAAACAGGAUUAGAUACCCCCGUAGUCCCUGUCUCUUAUAC
Molecule: ribosomal RNA, 301 nt
Filed under: uncultured bacterium
Lineage: Bacteria
Description: partial 16S ribosomal RNA
Rfam family: Bacterial small subunit ribosomal RNA
Source: RNAcentral